AGGAUUUAGAUAUUAUAGUAAAGAACUUGAGAACCUUUAGCUGCCUAAAUUCUCUGAAGGAACCAGCCUUGAAAUCUUUGGCCUGUAACUCUCGAUACGAAAGCUAUGAUGGAAACGAAGUACUAUUUUAUGAGGGAGAGUUGAGCACUUGCUGGUAUAUCUUAUUAUCCGGCUUGGUUAUAAUUGAAAAGGAAUUAUACUUCCCACGUAAUUGCUUCGGUAAGAGGACAGCCGAAUGUAGAAGAAGAAUGAAUCAAUGUCUAGUAUUGGAUAGUUCGGAUAUGAUAGUCAUUGACUACCCGGAUGUACAGAUUGAAGAGGCGUCGAACCGACGGUCGAUGAUAGAGAAAUGCUUCGGCGACGAUUGCGAUGUACGGUUGACCAGAUACCGAAUUCAUUCAACGGACGGAUUAAUCGAUCAUCUACGACCAGACGAAUUAACAAUGGUACACGGAAAUGAUUAUAAUAAGGAUGGCGAACAUCGCUUACAAGCUGCUAGAACUGCUGCUUGUAAGCGGAAUUCUCAUGCUUCCGAUACUUCUAGCGCCUAUAGCGGUUCGGAUAUGAUGCAGAGUAGUGUAAGCGGUGAAGUUGCUGAUUUAUCCGGAUUGACGGAAACUCUUGUAGACUCUGAUGACGAGGAAGGUUACGUUGAAAGUUCCGACGGGUCAACUGUUAGGGAUAAUGUACAAGAAAUAUUUGAAAAAUCUAAAAAUGAAAGGACUGACGAUGAUAUCGAAACAUUGUUAGAAAAUUUUAAACAUUUACCGGCUUUUGCCAAUAUGACAAUGGCUAUUAGAAGAGAAAUGUGUAGAGUAAUGGCUCUUGCAGUUGUAGACAAAGCCAAUAUGACCGUUCUAGAAGAUGGAGAAAUACUGGAUUCUUGGUCCGUAAUACUGAAUGGACACGUCGAAGUGAUAAAACCCGAUAAAACCGUCCUUACUUAUAACAUGGGUGAAUCCUUUGGAAUAUCUGCUUCGAAAGAAAUUCAAAAGCAUGUUGGAGUUAUGCGAACUAAAGUUGACAAUUGUCAAUUUAUUUGCAUCGAUCAAGAGAAUUAUUAUCGUAUUUUAACUCAGGGGGAAGAGAACACGAUACGGCACGAAGAGAAUAAUAAAGUAGUUCUCGUUACUGAACAACAGGUUGCCGGUGGAUCGAAAAAAGACUUCACCGUAAUAAGGGGCACAAAAGAUAAACUCUUGGAUCACUUGUUGGAAAUUUCAAAUACCGAUCCAUCAUACGUGGAAGACUUUUUACUAACUUACCGAACGUUCUUGUCAUCUCCAUAUGAACUAACUUCAAAGCUAUUAGCGUGGUUUGACGAUAAGAGACUGCGGGAUAGGGUAACUAGAAUUGUUCUGUUAUGGGUAAAUAAUCACUACAACGACUUUGAAAGUGAAUCGGGUAUGAGUGAAUUUUUAGAAAAAUUUGAAAAUCUCUUAACUCAAGAGAGAAUGGAAGGCCAAUUAAGAUUGUUGAAUAUUGCGUGCGCAGCUAAGGCUAGGCCUAGGAAUGUUGUGGUAAGACGAUCGGAUCGUAAUCAAGUCCUACAAUUUCACAUACUCGGAGGUCAAGAAAGGGGGGCCCCAAUUUUUAUUACAAAUGUGCAGAAAAAUACGAAAGCUCACGAGGCAGGUUUAAAGAGGGGUGAUCAAAUUUUACAAGUCAACAACCAAAGUUUCGAUAAGAUAACCCAUAAAAAAGCUCUAGAAAUUCUGAGAGGGUCCACUCACUUAUCAAUGGUCGUCAAAUCAAAUCUAAUGGCAUUUACUGAUCUCCUGCAAGAAUCAACGCAUGUCAAUUUGGAAGGUCUCUCUAUAGAAUCUCAUGAAACGAAUAGAAAUGAAACACGACCUCAGAGGUUGUCUGCACCAGAUUUGCAGGCGUUAGGCGUCAAGUCUGUACUAAAAUCAAAUUCCACUGACAAAGAAAAAAAGAGUUUUAUAAGCGGUAGCAAGGCAAUGAAAAUUCGGAAGGCACUAAUGAAAUUAUACUGGAGACCAAAAGCUGUCACAGACAAGCCUGAGGGGAGAACUUUGAAAAGGAGUCUGAGUUCUUCUGGCAGUAUACAAUUGUCGACAUCGAAUCCAGAUUUAAGUGCUUUUGACGAUUCAGAAUUUAGAGCUUUUCCUGAUUACGUUAUUAAAGUCUAUAGAUCUGAUCAAACCUUUAAAUAUUUACCAAUACAAAAGGAAACGACGGCUCAGCAGGUUGUUAUGUUGGCAUUGAAACAAUUCGGAAUGACUGAGCCGAGCACAAAGUUUUCUUUAUGCAUCGUAACAAUUGAAACAGAAGACGUUGUAAAACAGAAACGUUUGCCUGACCAGUUGGAUAAUUUAGCAGAGAGGAGCAGCCUUAACGGAAGGUACUACUUAAAGGAAAAUACAGAAACGGAGCCAUUAAUUCCAGAUGAACAAAAAGGGGAAUUGUUAAAAGAAGGUUUAACCAGUCUCCUCCAAUUGCAUCCGGCUGAAAUAGCAGCUCAGUUAACCUUAAAUGAUUUCCGACUUUUCAAUAGUAUUCACCCAACUGAAUACAUAGAUGAUUUAUUUGACAAAGGUAGCGUUUUUGGAACACCAAAUUUGAUGGACUUUGUAAAGUUAGUGAAUAAGGAAACCCUUUGGGUGGUAACUGAAAUCCUAAAAGAAACGAAUCUUGUGCGUCGGGUAAAAUUCAUAAAACAUUUCAUAAAGAUUGCACGCCAUUGUAGGGAAUUGAAAAAUUUCAAUUCUGUAUUCGCCAUUGUUAGUGGAUUAGACCACACACUGCUAUCGAAGUUGAACGCAACUUGGGAAAAAGUUAGCAGAAAGUACACAAACCUGUUGGAAGAUCUAAGACAAUUGUUCAUGCCGUUACGUAAUUUCUCGAAUUAUAGACGGCUGGUCAAUAGCGAGCGAAUAGAACCACCCAUGAUACCUUUCUUUCCGUUAUUUAAAAAGGAUUUGUCUUUCAUUCACCUCGGUAAUGAUGACUUUGUCGAGGGUUUGAUCAACUUUGAAAAAUUAAGAAUGCUAGCAAGAGAGAUUCGGCACAUAUCAAACAUGGCAACCAUUCAAAAUCCUAUGCACACUUUGUUUAUGCACGGAUUACCAACGACAGGAGCGCACGCUGAAAGGGUAUUCAGCGCCUUUGGAUCUCGAUCGCUAUCGGCUCCAUCGAAUGCCGCUUUAGCCGUAGCGACAAUAAGAAGGAAAAGAAAAGCCUCAACUGCACCUAACCUAAAAAAAAUAUAUGAAGAGGGGCAAAUGGUUAGAAAAGUUAGAGACUAUUUAGAGAAGUUAAAGGUUAUUGAGGACGAUGAAGAACUAAAGGAAUUGGCCCAGCAGUGCGAUUCAAAGGAAGGCUCUCUACGAGGAUUAAAGAGAGAGUCAUCACCAUCCAUCCAAUCCAGAUCAACCAGAAAUUCAGCUACAAGUUUAGCUCCGAAUGCCUUUGCUGAUAGACUAGGUCCUGCUGAAGUGGUAAGAAAACGUAGUUGGACUUUUGGUGAUAAUAUUUUAAAGUCGGAUGCAAGAGGAGUAACGAGUUUGGAUAGCAUGAAUAAGCUGAUCGGUCUGAGAUCUAAGACUAAACCUCACAAUAAUAAGCACGACCCUCUUCCAACAAGCACUGUUUCCCCUAUUGUUCCUCGAAAGUCGAAGAGUCCGCCUUCACCUACUACACCUCCACCCCCCAAGCUAACUUUGACGAUGGAGAGCUCAAGCGUUAGCUCAACAGCUAACUCCCCAUCUAAACAACCUCCACCUGUUCCACCGAGACGUUAUAGAGAACGCAAUUCAGAAUCCUGCAGCAGUGUUAACAGCGAAAAGAAAGCCGGUGAUCGUUCCCACCAAGCUCACGGUAAUUAUCGUAUAAUAGUUUACUAGACGUAGAUAUGUGGAAAGGGUAGUCGCUUUCAUAUUCGUUUACCUCUUGUUCGUUUUCUAAUCGAUAAAAAAAAGCGGAAGAGAAAGGAAUAUAAAACAGAAAAUUUAGAAAAGCAUAUAUAUAUAUAUAUAUAUAUAUAUAUAAAACACGGAAGGGACAUAUUUAGAAGCUUUGUUAACGUAUACAGCAUCGAAUAUUCGCCAGACUAAUGAAUCUAGACCACGUCUUCCUUCUUACAACGACGCCGUUAGGCGUUUGGAAACCUGUUUUAGACAAACAGGUAAUAGAACGGAGUAUUUUGUUGCUUUCCUUUUUUGCGAACUCCUCCAAAACUUUCAUAUAUUUUAUUUUUGUUUUAUUUUUUCCGUAUUUAACUCGCUUGAUGUGCAGAUUUUCUACGGCCUCGUGCUGUUUUACCUUAGAGAGUGUGCUUGUUUUUUUUUAAAAAGGCCUUACAGAAAAAGCGCUUGUCAAUUUUUUUUUUAAUUCAGCCGUAAGCGUACAAAACACUUUCGUUUUUUAUGUUAAUAUUUUUUUUCUUACCUUAUAAUUUUAUUAUUUUUUAAUUAAAUGGAAUUUUUUAAAACAAAAUAUUAUCUAUACAUCUAGCAAGCAGACCUGCAUUACCUUGCUACGAAGAGGCUUUGCAACACAAGAAAUUCUUAGGCCAAUGUGGUCGAUCGGCUAGUCAGGAUAUGCCAAAAGCAACCCUUAUGGUACCAAACACUAGACCUAGGGCUUCAUCAGCUACACCUCCAAUGCCGAAAACCGAAGAGCCGAAAUUUUCUUCUCUAAUUAGUGACGAAGAAGAGAAAGUUUCGGCCGUUUGAAUUGGUUGAACAAAGAGAAAUGUAUAUCUAUCUUUAGACAUAUAUAUAUAUAUAUAUAUAUAUAUAUGUGUGUGUGUGCAAUAAACAAAUUUUGGAUGAUUAGGUGCUUACCAUCCACUUGUUUAAAGGUGCUGUAUAGAAAUGAAAAAAAAAUUGGAAGAGACUGAAAAUGAAAAGGAAUUUCUUUGGUUUUUUUGUUUUCUGUUUUUUUUUUAAUUAUAUGUAUUUAUAUAUCAAAAACCCUCAUCUUUUCUUCUAUCGUGAUGAAUACCUUUCUGAUUUGUUACCUGUCAUUUACUUCUUAUUUUUUUCUUGCCUGCAAUCCCAUCUUUUUUUUUUUUUUAUAAAGAAAACAAACAAAAUUGUGGCGAAUACUUUUAACAGGAAUAUCUGAUAUUUCCUUUUUAUUUUUUUGAAGAAUUCAAGUGUUUCUUCUUUUUUUUCUAAUCAAAUAAAAAUCCUCAAAUUUAUUGUUGUUAUAAAAGAGAAAUUGGUAAAUAAAGAGUAACCUAUAUAAUGGACCAAAAAGAUAAAAGUGAUAAAAAAAGUAGAAAUGUUACACAAAUGAUAAUGAAUGGUCUCUCUGUUUUUUUUCUUGAUUAUCUCUUUUAAUUGAAUACGAAAUAAGAUUUUGAAUAGUAAAAUAUUCGUAUAAACUGUAUGAUAUGUAUAUACAUUUGUAUACCAAUAUAUGGAU
This 5394-nucleotide unclassified non-coding RNA is filed under the name Dimorphilus gyrociliatus. RNAcentral describes it as "dgyrCDS12419". Lineage: Eukaryota; Metazoa; Annelida; Polychaeta; Dinophilidae. The record is from RNAcentral.